RNAcentral lists this transfer RNA (70 nucleotides) under Diatrichalus xylobanoides. RNAcentral describes it as "tRNA-Glu". Lineage: Eukaryota; Metazoa; Arthropoda; Insecta; Coleoptera; Lycidae. The record is from RNAcentral.
AUUUCUUUAUUUAUGUAGUUUAAAAAACAUUACAUUUUCAUUGUAAAAUUAAAUAUUUAUUAUUUUAUAA